This is a non-coding RNA of Drosophila virilis, 495 nucleotides long. The record is from RefSeq and is a predicted model, not a curated record. Lineage: Eukaryota; Metazoa; Arthropoda; Insecta; Diptera; Drosophilidae.
UUUUAUAUUAUUUGAAAUUAAUUUUAUAUUAACUCGAAAUCGGGUAAUGAAUAGACAGAAUAUUGUCAAAGCUUAAAAACUUUCUUGAAAAUAGUUAUGUUGUCAAACAUUUCCCGUAGGACCCAGCACAGUGUAGAUCCUUAGAGUUAAGGUGGUUUUCUUGUUGGCCUGUUUUGUGUGGUAAAUGUUCACAUUUUUCUCACCGAAAAUGACCCAAACUGCAUUUGUGUCCGAUUUGGGUUCUCCUUUUUGGCCGUCCGCUUUAUGCAGCUCUGGUGGCAAAUGAAGCGUUGCCGUAUUGGCCUUAACUUGCCAAGUUAACAGUACUUCUAAUGACAGUUACCAGCUUGAAGCGAACGUGUGCAACAAGGACUUUUAUCCCAUGCUUGUGCCGCAAAUAUUUGUGAUAGUUUUUCUUUUUUUGCACCGUUAGCUCGAAAAAAGAGUCGUUGACUUUAGAAGCCUGCGCCAUGAAGAGGAUAUAGCUCAAUAAUA